Molecule: ribosomal RNA, 506 nt
Filed under: uncultured bacterium
Lineage: Bacteria
Description: bacterial SSU rRNA
Rfam family: Bacterial small subunit ribosomal RNA
Source: RNAcentral
GAUGAACGCUAGCGACAGGCCUAACACAUGCAAGUCGAGGGGCAGCGGAGAGGUAGCAAUACCUUUGCCGGCGACCGGCGCACGGGUGAGUAACACGUAUGCAAUCCACCUGUAACAGGGGGAUAACCCGGAGAAAUCCGGACUAAUACCCCAUAAUAUGGGCGCUCCGCAUGGAGGGUCCAUUAAAGAGAGCAAUUUUGGUUACAGACGAGCAUGCGCUCCAUUAGCCAGUUGGCGGGGUAACGGCCCACCAAAGCGACGAUGGAUAGGGGUUCUGAGAGGAAGGUCCCCCACAUUGGAACUGAGACACGGUCCAAACUCCUACGGGAGGCAGCAGUGAGGAAUAUUGGUCAAUGGUCGGCAGACUGAACCAGCCAAGUCGCGUGAGGGAAGACGGCCCUAUGGGUUGUAAACUGCUUUUAUAAGGGAAUAAAGUGAGUCUCGUGAGACUUUUUGCAUGUACCUUAUGAAUAAGGACCGGCUAAUUCCGUGCCAGCAGCCGCGGU